GAGGGUAUAGCUCAAGUGUGGCAGAGCACGUGCUUAGCAUGCACGAGGUCCUGGGUUCAAUCCCCAGUACCUCCA
This is a transfer RNA of Camelus ferus (Wild Bactrian camel), 75 nucleotides long. It matches the Rfam family "tRNA". Rfam says of the family: Transfer RNA (tRNA) molecules are approximately 80 nucleotides in length. Their secondary structure includes four short double-helical elements and three loops (D, anti-codon, and T loops). The record is from Rfam. NCBI's taxonomy places the organism in Eukaryota, Metazoa, Chordata, Mammalia, Artiodactyla, Camelidae.